Long non-coding RNA from Rattus rattus (black rat), 447 nucleotides. RefSeq lists it as uncharacterized. The record is from RefSeq and is a predicted model, not a curated record. NCBI's taxonomy places the organism in Eukaryota, Metazoa, Chordata, Mammalia, Rodentia, Muridae. The transcript has 3 exons.
UCUAUCCUGUUCCUCUGUGCUGGCAAGUUUUACAUCAGCUUGACACAGCUAGCAUACGAGAGUCAAUCGAGAAAUGCCUCUCUAUACAGUUGGGCUCUAGGCAGGCCUGAAGGACAUUUUCUUAACUGGUCAUUUGGAAGUGCCCAACCGGUUGUGGGUGGCACCACCCCUGGACAGGUGGUUCUCAUAGGCAGUCUGAGCAAGCCAGGGGACUAUAACCAGUCUGAACAAGCCAGUAUGCAUUCUGCCACGGCCCAUCACUCCUUCCUCUAGGUUCCUUCUCUGUUCGAGUUCCUGCCCUGACUGCUUUCAAUGAUUAACUGUUAUAUGGACGUGAAUCUGUGUUUGGGAGUAUCCAAUGUCUGCGGAAGACUGGGGAACCACAGAAACUGUAGGAGGCAGAAAGGAGCUGCCUUCAGUGAUCCAGCCAGGUUCCUGUCCCCACAA